ACAGAGGGUGCGAGCGUUAAUCGGAAUUACUGGGCGUAAAGCGCGCGUAGGCGGCUUUGUAAGUCGGAUGUGAAAUCCCCGGGCUUAACCUGGGAACUGCAUUCGAGACUGCAUAGCUUGAGUAUGGGAGAGGGAGGCGGAAUUUCCGGUGUAGCGGUGAAAUGCGUAGAGAUCGGAAGGAACGUCAAUGGCGAAGGCAGCCACCUGGCAUAAUACUGACGCUGAGGCACGAAAGCGUGGGGAGCGAACAGGA
RNAcentral lists this ribosomal RNA (253 nucleotides) under uncultured prokaryote. Its description in RNAcentral is "partial 16S ribosomal RNA". It matches the Rfam family "Bacterial small subunit ribosomal RNA", at positions 525 to 777 of the family's 1533-position model. The record is from RNAcentral.